AACAAAGCGGCGUAUGUGAUAAAAUGGACAUCAAGUAGUUGACUGACUCAUAAAGCUACAGUAUGUCUAAUAUAUUUGCUGAUGCUUAACUCAUGUUGGUUAUUAGCUAUUUAAAAAUUGAAAUGGUUUCACAUUUCUACUAAAAGUCAAUAAUUUGGUUUGGAAUUUGCAUUUGUUUGACGAUUUCCUAUGGAUGAAAAAUUGAUCCUGAUAAAUGAUAUUGCUUUCUACUCAAGAAGCUGUGAUAUUUAAAAUGGGGAAUCUGUUAUCCACUGACAUCAAUAA
RNAcentral lists this unclassified non-coding RNA (285 nucleotides) under Hevea brasiliensis (rubber tree). The record is from RNAcentral. Lineage: Eukaryota; Viridiplantae; Streptophyta; Magnoliopsida; Malpighiales; Euphorbiaceae.